CAUGAACCCAUGGAUGCAGUACUGCAUGAAGCAACAGGGGGUUGCCAACUUGCUAGCGUGGCCGACCCUGAUGCUGCAGCAACUGUUGGCCUCACCGCUUCAGCCGUGCCAGAUGCCAAUGAUGAUGCCAGGUAUGAUGCCACCGAUGACAAUGAUGCCGAUGCCGAAUAUGAUGCCAUCGAUGAUGGUGCCGACUAUGAUGUCACCAAUAACGAUAGCUAGUAUGAUGCCACCGAUGAUGAUGCCAAACAUGGUUUCACCAAUGAUGAUGCCGAGUAUGAUGCCUUCGACGAUGACGCCGAGUAUGAUGCCACCGAUAAUGAUGCCAAGUAUGAUACCACCGAUGAUGAUGCCGAGCAUGGUGUCAUCAAUGAUAAUGCCAAACAUGAUGACAGUGCCACAAUGUUACUCUGAUUCCAUCUCGCACAUUAUACAACAACAACAAUUACCAUUCAUGUUCAGCCCCACAGCCGUGGCGAUCUCACCCAUGUUUUUACAGCAGCCCUUUGUUGGUGCUGCAUUCUAGAUAUAAGCAUUUGUGUUGUACCCAAUAAUGAAGUCGGCAUGCCAUCGCAUGCGACUCAUUGUUUAGGAAUAAAACAAGCUAAUAAUGACUUUUCUCUCAUUAUAAUGUAUAUCUCUCCCUGUCUGUUUGUGUGUUUGCAAUGUCUUUUAC
This 676-nucleotide long non-coding RNA is filed under the name Zea mays. RNAcentral describes it as "long non-coding RNA (ZMAY_LNC003943)". The record is from RNAcentral. Lineage: Eukaryota; Viridiplantae; Streptophyta; Magnoliopsida; Poales; Poaceae.